This is a long non-coding RNA of Ipomoea triloba (trilobed morning glory), 484 nucleotides long. RefSeq lists it as uncharacterized. The transcript has 4 exons. Lineage: Eukaryota; Viridiplantae; Streptophyta; Magnoliopsida; Solanales; Convolvulaceae. The record is from RefSeq and is a predicted model, not a curated record.
UCUCCUACAACAUUUCGAAAUUUCCCUUUUUCGCUGUUCUUUGUCUGCCCUAAAAGAUCUAACCAUUUCACUUUAGUUAUGUUGCCAUUAUUAUCUCAACGCUGUCGAUCUCUCUCCGUUCGAAGAGGUUAAGUCUUGCACUAUCCUAGGUUCUCUACAGUUGCCGAUCCUAUGUUCUCUACGUUCCAUACGAUGAGCAAUUACAAACCGAUCAUAUGUUGUGGACAGUAGAAUCAGAUUACAUGAACUGCAGAUUUGAUGGACUAUUACACAAUUAAGAACAGAAUCCUAAGUAUUCAAAAAAAAAAAAAAAGAACAAAAUCCUAAUAUGAAAUGCAUUGCAAGGUUUUUCCAGUUUGGAUGAAUAAAGAAUAAAGAGUACAUCAAGGAGUACAUAUGUGAGGGCAUAUGUUCUCUUCAAUGACGCAAAGCUGAAACAUUUGGAUAGCAAAGGCUAAAAGAUUUGGUCAGAGAAGAGAAAGAA